Molecule: transfer RNA, 104 nt
Rfam family: tRNA
About the family: Transfer RNA (tRNA) molecules are approximately 80 nucleotides in length. Their secondary structure includes four short double-helical elements and three loops (D, anti-codon, and T loops).
Source: Rfam
GGCGAGAUGGCCGAGCGGUCUAAGGCGCCAGACUAAGGAGGAGGAGGAACUACUUCUGUGUUAUCUGGUCCGAAAGGGCGUGGGUUCGAAUCCCACUCUCGUCA